UGGGGAAUAUUGCACAAUGGGCGCAAGCCUGAUGCAGCGACGCCGCGUGCGGGAUGGAGGCCUUCGGGUUGUAAACCGCUUUUGUUCAAGGGCAAGGCACGGCUUCGGGCCGUGUUGAGUGGAUUGUUCGAAUAAGGACCGGCUAAUUCCGUGCCAGCAGCCGCGGUAAUACGGAAGGUCCUGGCGUUAUCCGGAUUUAUUGGGUUUAAAGGGAGCGUAGGCCGGAGAUUAAGCGUGUUGUGAAAUGUAGGAGCUCAACUUCUGCACUGCAGCGCGAACUGGUUUCCUUGAGUACGUAGGAAGUUGGCGGAAUUCGUGGUGUAGCGGUGAAAUGCUUAGAUAUCACGAAGAACUCCGAUUGCGAAGGCAGCUGACUGUAUCGUAACCGACGCUGAAGCUCGAAAGUGUGGGUAUCGAACAGGAUUAGAUACC
This 432-nucleotide ribosomal RNA is filed under the name uncultured bacterium. Its description in RNAcentral is "bacterial SSU rRNA". It matches the Rfam family "Bacterial small subunit ribosomal RNA", at positions 355 to 786 of the family's 1533-position model. The record is from RNAcentral.